UUCUUAUCAAGAGAGAUGGAGGGAUUUGGCCCGAUGAAGUCUCAGCAACAGGUUAUUUAACACUGUGCUAAAUCCAACAAGUUUUCAACUUGGCAGAUAAGAA
This 103-nucleotide non-coding RNA is filed under the name Seinonella peptonophila. Its description in RNAcentral is "SAM-I sequence". It matches the Rfam family "SAM riboswitch aptamer (S box leader)". Rfam says of the family: The SAM riboswitch is found upstream of a number of genes which code for proteins involved in methionine or cysteine biosynthesis in Gram-positive bacteria. The record is from Rfam by way of RNAcentral. Lineage: Bacteria; Bacillati; Bacillota; Bacilli; Caryophanales; Thermoactinomycetaceae.